AAUGGGGGAUAACGUAGCGAAAGUUACGCUAAUACCGCAUAUGCCCUGAGGGGGAAAGGUGGGGAUCGCAAGGCCUAUCGUUUUCGGAGUGGCCGAUAUCAGAUUAGCUAGUUGGUGAGGUAAAGGCUCACCAAGGCGACGAUCUGUAGCUGGUCUGAGAGGACGACCAGCCACACUGGGACUGAGACACGGCCCAGACUCCUACGGGAGGCAGCAGUGGGGAAUUUUGGACAAUGGGGGCAACCCUGAUCCAGCCAUGCCGCGUGAGUGAAGAAGGCCUUCGGGUUGUAAAGCUCUUUCAGACGGAAAGAAAUCGCUAUUCCUAAUAUGAGUGGUGGAUGACGGUACCGUCAGAAGAAGUACCGGCUAACUACGUGCCAGCAGCCGCGGUAAUACGUAGGGUGCGAGCGUUAAUCGGAAUUACUGGGCGUAAAGCGUGCGCAGGCGGUUUUGUAAGACAGACGUGAAAUCCCCGGGCUUAACCUGGGAACUGCGUUUGUGACUGCAAGGCUAGAGUACGGCAGAGGGGGGUAGAAUUCCA
This 541-nucleotide ribosomal RNA is filed under the name uncultured Gallionellaceae bacterium. RNAcentral describes it as "bacterial SSU rRNA". It matches the Rfam family "Bacterial small subunit ribosomal RNA", at positions 135 to 671 of the family's 1533-position model. The record is from RNAcentral. Lineage: Bacteria; Pseudomonadati; Pseudomonadota; Betaproteobacteria; Nitrosomonadales; Gallionellaceae.